RNAcentral lists this long non-coding RNA (1205 nucleotides) under Heterocephalus glaber (naked mole-rat). RNAcentral describes it as "lncRNA (ENSHGLG00100038651.1)". Lineage: Eukaryota; Metazoa; Chordata; Mammalia; Rodentia; Bathyergidae. The record is from RNAcentral.
GCCAAAGGGAUAAAAGGAGAACUGGAAGGGAAGAUUUCAUGCUGUUGAUUUUCCUGGAGAAGCAUCCUGUGGCUGGUUUUCUGGAUAUGAACUUAGCUGUUGUUGUCAUCAGAGGAGCUCAGGUCCUCGCUGUCAACAGGGACGGCCGCUGUUCUCUUCCAGGGAGCUCAGGUCUUCGGUUCCUGGCUCCACUGCAGAUCCCUCAGCCCACCAGUGCAGACUUUCUGGCUUCCACCACUGGCCUUGGCCUUCCUGGUGCAGUUUCUCGAUACGGACUUGCAGGAGACAUUGCCAUGGGCUCCAGGCCUUCAGCUGGACUCUGCAGGACACUGCUGUGGGAUCUAAGGCCUCAGCUCCUGGCCUCCUCCGAUGGACCCCUGAGUAUUCGGGGAUUUGUGGAGAUUUGAGCUUGAGGUGCUCAGCUUCCCGCUGCCCCGAUCUCCGGCUUCGCUCAUCAGCCCCUGCACCCCUCAUGGGCGUGCUCUCUGGGGGACGAGCUCCAUCUGCUCUGGUCAGGGCUGAAGGGCGCCACUCUGGCCACGGAGGAGAGCCAUCCCUGUCGCCGUCUCUCCAUCCCCAGCAAAGACAGGCCUUACGCCGAGAGUCCGUGGCACAGGUGCUACGGGGCUGUCAGUAUGGUAAGAUUGGGCUUGAAGGUCUGUGGAUGACAGAGAGGGAAUACAGUCCAAAGAAUAGUUGACACCGGUCCAGGCCUGUGGCUUUCAGAAGGUCGCUUCUCUCACCUGUCACAUUCACAUCUGUCAAAGUCAACCACUGCAGGGACAAAGAACCACCAACCAGGGCUGUGCCGUCUUCCCAUUCAGGGCUCAUCGCUGCAGUCUGUGUUCUGUGUUCCCACGUCUGUCUCUUCCCAGCAAGAUGAACUCUGGAAAUUGAAGGACCCUAGUUAGCAAGACAGACUCCAUAUUGCUGCUUGACCCACCUGCCUGCCCUUUAGAUGAACUCAGAAGGAGGAAGCUUAGAAACCUCCUCCCCUUAGAGAGUCUCUUAGAAACAACAAGUAAUCAACUGUUGUUUUACAAAUGUUCUAACAGCAGGACGUUCCACUUCUGUACCUUUUGCUUGCUUUGCUAGUUCUAUCUCAUAGGGGGGCCUAGAAACUGUUGGCCUCAAAGGUGUAUAAAACAUGUUUGUCUCCCCCCAGUCAGGGCUCGAGUCCGAUACUUGGCUCGGGUCCCGGCCGG